Molecule: long non-coding RNA, 317 nt
Filed under: Rosa chinensis
Lineage: Eukaryota; Viridiplantae; Streptophyta; Magnoliopsida; Rosales; Rosaceae
Description: sRNA RchiOBHm_Chr7g0207361
Source: RNAcentral
CGCUGCUUCACGCCCAGCCGCCCUCUGCCAUCGCUUUGCUCCGCCGCUGCCUCCAGCCGGAGAUCGAAGGAGCCACAGCUCCGAUCGGUGACCCGGCCGGAUUUCCAGUUUUCCGGCGUCCCCUCGGCCGAUCCUUCCCAUUUUCGUGAUCUCCUCCUCCCCCUGAUCAUCCCCAUGUAAGUCUUUCAUCACGAUUUUGUGUGUAGAACGCUAGAUCAAGGUUUGACUUUUUCGACGUCCCUGAUUUGAUCUAGGAUCUGAUCGUGCGUCCGAGAUUUAAUCCAACUUCAAAGCUUGAUCUAGGAAGAUCUAGGCCG